RNAcentral lists this small RNA (240 nucleotides) under Pongo abelii (Sumatran orangutan). RNAcentral describes it as "retained intron". Lineage: Eukaryota; Metazoa; Chordata; Mammalia; Primates; Hominidae. The record is from RNAcentral.
CCCAGAGAAAGGCUGAUUUCCAACAUCCCGCAGGGCCUGUGGAGCCAGAGCCCAGAGACAGAGGCCUGCAGAGGAGGUAAUUCUGCCCGAAGACCCCAGACUCCCACCCGCCCCUCGCCCAUACACUGCCCCUAAAGCUUCCGUUCCUCCCCCAGGUCCAGCCCCGCUGCCGACGCCCAGGAAGAAAACCCCUGUGAGUGAGAGGAAGAGGUGAUCAGCCAGGAGGGAGAUGGGGGCCCC